RNAcentral lists this ribosomal RNA (274 nucleotides) under uncultured bacterium. RNAcentral describes it as "partial 16S ribosomal RNA". It matches the Rfam family "Bacterial small subunit ribosomal RNA", at positions 523 to 796 of the family's 1533-position model. The record is from RNAcentral.
AUACAGAGGGUGCGAGCGUUAAUCGGAAUUACUGGGCGUAAAGCGCGCGUAGGCGGCUUAUUAAGUCGGAUGUGAAAUCCCCGGGCUCAACCUGGGAACUGCAUCUGAUACUGGUAAGCUAGAGUUUUGGAGAGGGAAGUAGAAUUUCAGGUGUAGCGGUGAAAUGCAUAGAGAUCUGAAGGAAUACCAGUGGCGAAGGCGACUUCCUGGCCAAAAACUGACGCUGAGGUGCGAAAGCGUGGGUAGCAAACGGGAUUAGAAACCCCAGUAGUCC